Molecule: ribosomal RNA, 425 nt
Filed under: uncultured bacterium
Lineage: Bacteria
Description: bacterial SSU rRNA
Rfam family: Bacterial small subunit ribosomal RNA
Source: RNAcentral
GUGGGGAAUAUUGGACAAUGGGCGCAAGCCUGAUCCAGCCAUGCCGCGUGAGUGAUGAAGGCCUUAGGGUUGUAAAGCUCUUUCACCGAUGAAGAUAAUGACGGUAGUCGGAGAAGAAGCCCCGGCUAACUUCGUGCCAGCAGCCGCGGUAAUACGAAGGGGGCUAGCGUUGUUCGGAUUUACUGGUCGUAAAGCGCACGUAGGCGGUUUGUUAAGUCAGGGGUGAAAUCCCGGAGCUCAACUCCGGAACUGCCUUUGAUGCUGGCAAGCUAGAGUCCGGAAGAGGUAAGUGGAACUCCUAGUGUAGAGGUGGAAUUCGUAGAUAUUAGGAAGAACACCAGUGGCGAAGGCGGCUUACUGGUCCGGAACUGACGCUGAGGUGCGAAAGCGUGGGGAGCAAACAGGAUUAGAUACCCUAGUAGUCC